RNAcentral lists this ribosomal RNA (1198 nucleotides) under Pseudomonas mandelii PD30. RNAcentral's name for it is "bacterial LSU rRNA". It matches the Rfam family "Bacterial large subunit ribosomal RNA", at positions 1331 to 2514 of the family's 2925-position model. The record is from RNAcentral. Lineage: Bacteria; Pseudomonadati; Pseudomonadota; Gammaproteobacteria; Pseudomonadales; Pseudomonadaceae.
CCCACGCCGAAAGACCAAGGUUUCCUGCGCAACGUUAAUCGACGCAGGGUUAGUCGGUCCCUAAGGCGAGGCUGAAAAGCGUAGUCGAUGGAAAACAGGUUAAUAUUCCUGUACUUCUGGUUAUUGCGAUGGAGGGACGGAGAAGGCUAGGCCAGCUUGGCGUUGGUUGUCCAAGUUUAAGGUGGUAGGCUGGAAUCUUAGGUAAAUCCGGGAUUCUAAGGCCGAGAGCUGAUGACGAGUUACCCUUUGGGUGACGAAGUGGUUGAUGCCAUGCUUCCAAGAAAAGCUUCUAAGCUUCAGGUAACCAGGAACCGUACCCCAAACCGACACAGGUGGUUGGGUAGAGAAUACCAAGGCGCUUGAGAGAACUCGGGUGAAGGAACUAGGCAAAAUGGCACCGUAACUUCGGGAGAAGGUGCGCCGGUGAGGGUGAAGCAUUUACUGCGUAAGCCCAUGCCGGUCGAAGAUACCAGGCCGCUGCGACUGUUUAUUAAAAACACAGCACUCUGCAAACACGAAAGUGGACGUAUAGGGUGUGACGCCUGCCCGGUGCCGGAAGGUUAAUUGAUGGGGUUAGCUAACGCGAAGCUCUUGAUCGAAGCCCCGGUAAACGGCGGCCGUAACUAUAACGGUCCUAAGGUAGCGAAAUUCCUUGUCGGGUAAGUUCCGACCUGCACGAAUGGCGUAACGAUGGCGGCGCUGUCUCCACCCGAGACUCAGUGAAAUUGAAAUCGCUGUGAAGAUGCAGUGUAUCCGCGGCUAGACGGAAAGACCCCGUGAACCUUUACUAUAGCUUUGCACUGGACUUUGAAUUUGCUUGUGUAGGAUAGGUGGGAGGCUUUGAAGCGUGGACGCCAGUUCGCGUGGAGCCAACCUUGAAAUACCACCCUGGCAACUUUGAGGUUCUAACUCAGGUCCGUUAUCCGGAUCGAGGACAGUGUAUGGUGGGUAGUUUGACUGGGGCGGUCUCCUCCUAAAGAGUAACGGAGGAGUACGAAGGUGCGCUCAGACCGGUCGGAAAUCGGUCGUAGAGUAUAAAGGCAAAAGCGCGCUUGACUGCGAGACAGACACGUCGAGCAGGUACGAAAGUAGGUCUUAGUGAUCCGGUGGUUCUGUAUGGAAGGGCCAUCGCUCAACGGAUAAAAGGUACUCCGGGGAUAACAGGCUGAUACCGCCCAAGAGUUCAUAUCGACGGCGG